RNAcentral lists this ribosomal RNA (253 nucleotides) under uncultured bacterium. RNAcentral describes it as "partial 16S ribosomal RNA". It matches the Rfam family "Bacterial small subunit ribosomal RNA", at positions 524 to 776 of the family's 1533-position model. The record is from RNAcentral.
UACGUAGGGUGCAGGCGUUAAUCGGAAUUACUGGGCGUAAAGCGUGCGCAGGCGGUUCUGAAAGUCAGCUGUGAAAGCCCCGGGCUUAACCUGGGAAUGGCGGUUGAAACUACAGGACUAGAAUCUGGCAGAGGGGGGUGGAAUUCCACGUGUAGCAGUGAAAUGCGUAGAGAUGUGGAGGAACACCGAUGGCGAAGGCAGCCCCCUGGGUCAAGAUUGACGCUCAUGCACGAAAGCGUGGGGAGCAAACAGG